Molecule: ribosomal RNA, 460 nt
Filed under: uncultured bacterium
Lineage: Bacteria
Description: partial 16S ribosomal RNA
Rfam family: Bacterial small subunit ribosomal RNA
Source: RNAcentral
CCUACGGGAGGCAGCAGUGAGGAAUAUUGGUCAAUGGACGAGAGUCUGAACCAGCCAAGUAGCGUGAAGGAUGACUGCCCUAUGGGUUGUAAACUUCUUUUAUAUGGGAAUAAAACAGGGUAUGCAUACCCUCUUGUAUGUACCAUAUGAAUAAGGAUCGGCUAACUCCGUGCCAGCAGCCGCGGUAAUACGGAGGAUUCGAGCGUUAUCCGGAUUUAAUGGGUUUAAAGGGAGCGCAGGUGGAUUGUUAAGUCAGUUGUGAAAGGGUGCGGCUCAACCGUAGAAUUGCAGUUGAAACUGGCAGUCUUGAGUGGAAGAGAGGUAUGCGGAAUGCGUGGUGUAGCGGUGAAAUGCAUAGAUAUCACGAAGAACUCCGAUUGCGAAGGCAGCACACCGGAUCGCCACUGACACUGAGGCACGAAAGUGUGGGUAUCAAACAGGAUUAGAUACCCGAGUAGUC